RNAcentral lists this ribosomal RNA (323 nucleotides) under uncultured Cylindrospermopsis sp. Its description in RNAcentral is "bacterial SSU rRNA". It matches the Rfam family "Bacterial small subunit ribosomal RNA", at positions 365 to 702 of the family's 1533-position model. Lineage: Bacteria; Bacillati; Cyanobacteriota; Cyanophyceae; Nostocales; Aphanizomenonaceae. The record is from RNAcentral.
UCCGCAAUGGGCGAAAGCCUGACGGAGCAAUACCGCGUGAGGGAGGAAGGCUCUUGGGUCGUAAACCUCUUUUCUCAAGGAAGAAGAAAGUGACGGUACUUGAGGAAUAAGCAUCGGCUAACUCCGUGCCAGCAGCCGCGGUAAUACGGAGGAUGCAAGCGUUAUCCGGAAUGAUUGGGCGUAAAGGGUCUGCAGGUGGAACUGAAAGUCUGCUGUUAAAGAGUUUGGCUUAACCAAAUAAAAGCGGUGGAAACUACAGAACUAGAGUGCGGUAGGGGCAAAAGGAAUUCCUGGUGUAGCGGUGAAAUGAGUAGAUAUCAGGA